Molecule: ribosomal RNA, 268 nt
Filed under: uncultured bacterium
Lineage: Bacteria
Description: partial 16S ribosomal RNA
Rfam family: Bacterial small subunit ribosomal RNA
Source: RNAcentral
CACGCCUAACACAUGCAAGUCGAACGCAGUAGCAAUACUGAGUGGCAAACGGGUGAGUAUAAUGCGGGAAUCUGCCUUUUGGUUCGGAAUAACACGAGGAAACUUGUGCUAAUACCGGAUAAGCCCUUACGGGGAAAGUUUUAAUGCCAAAAGAUGAGCCCGCACUUGAUUAGCUAGUUGGUAAGGUAAUGGCUUACCAAGGCAACGAUCAGUAGCUGGUCUGAGAGGAUGACCAGCCACACUGGGACUGAGACACGGCCCAGACUCC